RNAcentral lists this ribosomal RNA (267 nucleotides) under uncultured Atopobium sp. RNAcentral's name for it is "partial 16S ribosomal RNA". It matches the Rfam family "Bacterial small subunit ribosomal RNA", at positions 88 to 355 of the family's 1533-position model. The record is from RNAcentral. Lineage: Bacteria; Bacillati; Actinomycetota; Coriobacteriia; Coriobacteriales; Atopobiaceae.
GUAUAAAGUGGCGAACGGCUGAGUAACACGUGGGCAACCUGCCCUUUGCACUGGGAUAGCCUCGGGAAACCGAGGUUAAUACCGGAUACUCCAUAUUUGUCGCAUGGCGAAUAUGGGAAAGCUCCGGCGGCAAAGGAUGGCCCGCGGCCUGUUAGCUAGUUGGUGGGGUAGUGGCCUACCAAGGCAAUGAUGGGUAGCCGGGUUGAGAGACCGACCGGCCAGAUUGGGACUGAGACACGGCCCAGACUCCUACGGGAGGCAGCAGUA